UUAAAACUUUCAACAACGGAUCUCUUGGUUCUGGCAUCGAUGAAGAACGCAGCGAAAUGCGAUAAGUAAUGUGAAUUGCAGAAUUCAGUGAAUCAUCGAAUCUUUGAACGCACAUUGCGCCCUCUGGUAUUCCAGAGGGCAUGCCUGUUCGAGCGUCAUU
RNAcentral lists this ribosomal RNA (160 nucleotides) under Cytospora chrysosperma. RNAcentral describes it as "Valsa sordida 5.8S ribosomal RNA". It matches the Rfam family "5.8S ribosomal RNA". From Rfam's summary of the family: 5.8S ribosomal RNA (5.8S rRNA) is a component of the large subunit of the eukaryotic ribosome. It is transcribed by RNA polymerase I as part of the 45S precursor that also contains 18S and 28S rRNA. The record is from RNAcentral. Lineage: Eukaryota; Fungi; Ascomycota; Sordariomycetes; Diaporthales; Cytosporaceae. RNAcentral also lists the same sequence under 12 other names.